Molecule: long non-coding RNA, 368 nt
Organism: Vicia villosa (hairy vetch)
Lineage: Eukaryota; Viridiplantae; Streptophyta; Magnoliopsida; Fabales; Fabaceae
Exons: 3
Source: RefSeq, a predicted model, not a curated record
UAAAGUAGGGGAGGCGGUGGUAGUGUACCCAUGGACGGUAGCAUGUUAAACUCAUAUAGAGGAAAUGAUUACGUCCGUCCUUUUUACGGAUGUCUAUAUCUCAUACGUGUUUGAGCUUUUACAUCCAGUUGCAUGAUUAUGCAUGUGUUUCUUUUGUGGUAGUUAAUCUAUACAUGAGAAAGAAUGUCAAGUAUGAUACUACACGGUGAAGCAAAGAAGGAAAUAAGAAAGAGAUGACUUAGAUUCAAUAGAAUGUCUAGCUGUUCAAGCCAUGGCUCCAAUGAACUUGGAUGGUAGUGGUUGUAGAUUACGCCGAUAGAGAAAAUGAAGGGGACCUAAUAAUGGAAACACAAUUGGCAACACCUGAG